GCAGAGGCCCCGCCCUCCAUUCGGUCAGAGUUUCCCCCCACCUCUCUCAGGGCCAGAGUGUGCAAGCACGGUGGAGCUCUUGGAAGGAUCGAUGGACCGCCGUGACUUGAGAUGAGACAGGAUGGGCGAGGUUGGGCGAUUUUUCUAAAAUCUCAUAGAGCAGAGGGAAGAGUUGGAUUUCAAAUUUAGAAUAAUGUCUCCAUCUACAUUUAAAGAAGUUUUCCAGAAACCUGACAGAUGGAGUGAAUAUCCACUGCCAGAUUACAGUGCGUCUGUCUAAUGGAGGCCACCACCCAACUGGGUUCCAAACACGUGGACAGAGAAGCACACCUGUCGCACAUCAAAAGUCCCGGGCCGGGAUUCGAAUCAGAGUUGCCGCUGCCAGCCACAGCCGCAGUCACGGCAACACCAGAUCCAAGCUCAUCGGCGACCUGUGCAGCAGCUUGUGG
Sus scrofa (pig) is the source of this 449-nucleotide non-coding RNA. The record is from RefSeq and is a predicted model, not a curated record. Lineage: Eukaryota; Metazoa; Chordata; Mammalia; Artiodactyla; Suidae.